UGGACGCAUCACUGGUGUUCGGGUUGUCAUGCCAAUGGCACUGCCCGGUAGCUAAAUGCGGAAGAGAUAAGUGCUGAAAGCAUCUAAGCACGAAACUUGCCCCGAGAUGAGUUCUCCCUGAGACUUAGAGUCUCCUGAAGGAACGUUGAAGACGACGACGUUGAUAGGCCGGGUGUGUAAGCGCAGCGAUGCGUUGAGCUAACCGGUACUAAUGAACCGUGAGGCUUAACCUU
This 233-nucleotide ribosomal RNA is filed under the name Escherichia coli. Its description in RNAcentral is "partial 23S ribosomal RNA". It matches the Rfam family "Bacterial large subunit ribosomal RNA", at positions 2698 to 2925 of the family's 2925-position model. RNAcentral also lists the same sequence under 43 other names. The record is from RNAcentral. Lineage: Bacteria; Pseudomonadati; Pseudomonadota; Gammaproteobacteria; Enterobacterales; Enterobacteriaceae.